UAUUCAAACUAUAUGAAAAAAUUCUGGAACCGCUAAUACAUUGGUAGCCUUAUGGGAACUUUAUGGGGGGGGGGGAGCGGGUCUGUAGUAACAAAACUUAUCCCUCACCUAUUCACUUAACAACAAUGCUUUAGGGUUAACAGAAAAAUGUUAUCAACAGCCUAACCUGUUUACUGUGAUAGCCCACCUACCAACCAUAUAAUUAAUGUUAGUGUCGAAUUGCACAAAUCUGAUUGGUCACUUGUCACUUCAUCAAGUGAGCAUCAGCUGAUUUGAAUUGUCACUUCAUGUGGAGCCAACGGAAGCGGUAGUAUUUUGAAUUUCUCUCUGGACUUUCAUGAUGCUAGGCAGUUAUAAACAUACUCCUUGGAAGUAUUUUAGCAGUACUGUAUUCACUAUCAAGUGGAUACUCAAGUCUCGGUAACUACUGUAAGUGAAAACUCAAUCCAGUCAACUCAAUCAUUUUAGUAGGAAAGCAUUAAUGUUUGUUUGAAGACGUAUCUGUGAAGGCCAGAAAAUUACCUGACUUACUAAAGAAGUAACUGCUAGUCUGUCAUUAGUCUCGGUAACUACUGUAAGUGAAAACUCAAUCCAGUCAACUCAAUCAUUUUAGUAGGAAAGCAUUAAUGUUUGUUUGAAGACGUAUCUGUGAAGGCCAGAAAAUUACCUGACUUACUAAAGCAAGAGUGAAACUCCGAGAAAUGUUAGUACAAGUCACAGUGAUUUAGUAUUUCAAACUAGAUUCGUUCAACGGCAUAAUUCAUACUAAUUUAGCUUGGUACCAUCGGACAAGAAAAGGCAUGGUAAUGGACAGUUGCUGCUGCAAUAUCACAAAGAAUGCUGGUUUAUGAACACCUGUAACACAAAUGGUUCUUGAAUAUUGUUUUACAUAAUAAACUCUUGUAGUAGGACAACAUUACGAAAAAAAUGCUUAUUUAAACCGGACUGUAAAAGCAAAGAACUAUGUAGAAUAGCCUUGAACUUGAGGUACAGUAUGUUUAGCAGUAAGACAUUAGCAAAAUGAUAAUAUAUGAAGGGGUAUGCUAGUAAAUGAGACCCUAGGGAAUUAAAGUCCCUACCGUAUGAUGUUUGUUGGUGUUUUAAAUUAAAGAAAUUAUGGUUUGUAUAUGAACUCAUAAUGUAUUUUGUAAGUCUGCAGAAGUUUAUUAAAGCCAUUUUUACCAAUUGGAACUGGGACCAUUGCAAACCAAUUGGAAUUGGGGGCCAGUUAAAGUUGAAGAGCAGUUGAAUUGUCCAAAAACACACAACACCAACAUUUUUUUUUAAAAAGAAUACACAGAUUGUCUAUAUAAAAUUGUUCAAUUUAUAUAUACACUUUCUAUAUACAGUAAUUGUAUUGAAUUUCUAUUCGCAUAUUUAAUGUAUUUUUAUAGGUUUUUUUUCUAUAAAAUGUUUAUAGAUUUAUAAGUGGUUUUUAUAAAAUUGUUUAUAGAUUUUCUAUAGUUUUUUAAGGUUUUUUUUAUAUAAAAUUUUCAUAGACUUUCUAUAGAAUUUUAAUAGAAUUUUCAUAGUUUUUUUAGGGUCUCACUAAAAGGCGCAUACCACCGCAUGCCGCCCAUAAUCGACGUUUAUUUUUCUUUUUUAAUGAAUUAUAAUGUGAAAUAUUAAUGCAAAUAUUACA
Anneissia japonica is the source of this 1642-nucleotide long non-coding RNA. RefSeq lists it as uncharacterized. The record is from RefSeq and is a predicted model, not a curated record. NCBI's taxonomy places the organism in Eukaryota, Metazoa, Echinodermata, Crinoidea, Comatulida, Comatulidae. The transcript is spliced from 4 exons.